AUUGAACGCUGGCGGCAUGCCUUACACAUGCAAGUCGAACGGCAGCACGGGAGCAAUCCUGGUGGCGAGUGGCGAACGGGUGAGUAAAGUAUCGGAACGUGCCCGGUCGUGGGGGAUAACGUAGCGAAAGUUACGCUAAUACCGCAUACGAUCUAUGGAUGAAAGCGGGGGAUCGCAAGACCUCGCGCGAUUGGAGCGGCCGAUAUCAGAUUAGGUAGUAGGUGGGGUAAAGGCUCACCAAGCCGACGAUCUGUAGCUGGUCUGAGAGGACGACCAGCUACACUGGGACUGAGACACGGCCCAGACUCCUACGGGAGGCAGCAGUGGGGAAUUUUGGACAAUGGGCGCAAGCCUGAUCCAGCCAUGCCGCGUGCAGGAUGAAGGCCUUCGGGUUGUAAACUGCUUUUGUACGGAACGAAAAGGUUUGACUUAAUACGUUGGACUCAUGACGGUACCGUAAGAAUAAGCACCGGCUAACUACGUGCCAGCCGCCGCAGUAA
RNAcentral lists this ribosomal RNA (500 nucleotides) under uncultured bacterium. RNAcentral describes it as "partial 16S ribosomal RNA". It matches the Rfam family "Bacterial small subunit ribosomal RNA", at positions 30 to 523 of the family's 1533-position model. The record is from RNAcentral.